AUAGGUGUGAGCCACUGUACCUGACCAAAUAAUUAUUUGUGUAUUUGGGAAACUGGAUUUGAGACCUAAAUCUGCUACUACAUUUCUGAUGUGAGUUUGAGAAUUUCCCUUAACCUUCUUAGGUUUCACUUCCUUAUCUUUAAAAUUAAAGUGAUUCAUAUGGAUUCAAUAAAAUCUAUUUCAACAAAUUUAGCAUUUGCAAGUUCCUACCAUUAAGAAGAUAUAAUUCCUGUUGUGUCAGAUGUGAAAUUAUUCUGUUUUGCAAACUGACCUAAGCCAAUUUGGCUAUUGUCAACAGACAGAUUCUCUCAGUAAGUGUUGGUACCUGUGAUCAUUAGGGGUGGAUGGAAGCUGUAUCUCCUUUGCUACAACCUUGCUACCCAGAGCUAUUUUUUGAUAAAACCUAGCUUUGAAUCAAAUUUUUGCCUCAGAUACAAAUAUCUAUUGUUCCGCAAGCGCAAAAACAAUUAUAUAGCCAGUACAUAUAAACACAGUGAAGUCCUCAUUCUCUCUCCUUUUAGGUUUCUGAGCAAGAUGCUUGCAUGAAAGAUUCAAUCUAAUGCCAAUGCAAAAAUAUUGUGAAAGCAGCAGGAUCAGCUAGGCUUCCAGUUGGAUCACUUGCUCUGGGGAAAGCCAGCUGUCAUAUUGUGAGCAGACCUAUGAAAAGGCCCACUUGGUGAAGAACUGAGGCCUCUGACUGAUGGACACAUGGGUGACCUUGCAAUCAAGUCUUCUGGCCCCAACCAAGCCUUCAGCUGAGACUGCAGCCUCAUGAAAGAUCCUGAGCUAGAAGCAUCCUGCCAUCCUAAUAAGCCACUUGAAUUUCUGACCCUUAAAAAUUGUGAGAUAAUAAGCACCUGUGCUUUUUUUAAGUAUUAGGUUUAAAAAAUGCUGAAAAAAUAAAGAAGAAAAAAGACAACUCAUAAUCUCACCACAUUAAAAAGAAUAGCUAUAGAAAAAUUCCAGUAGUAUAAAAAAUAAAAAUGGAAAUAACUCCCCACCAUCCCCGAUCUUUAGUUCUUUUUCCCACAGUGACAUUUUCUUUCCCAAGACAUGUUCAUGCAUAUGCAAUAUAUGUAUGCAAUAUAUGUGUAAACUCUUUAAGAUGUUCACAAAAGGAUCAUGUUACACUCACUUGAAAAAAUAUUAUAUAUUGAAGAUGUCUUCAUAUCAGUAUAUAUACAUCUAUCUUAUUUUUAAAAUAGAUUUCCCAUAAUUUAAAUGUACCAUAUUUCUUUUACCAGUCCCCAUAUAUGGACAUUUAGGAUAUUUCCAGUAUUCUUUUCUGUUAUAAAUAUGUGGUGAUAAACACAUAUUUUGAGUACCCUCAAGUAAAGUCCUAUAGGUAGCAUUCUGGCAUCAUGUUGUAUGUGCAUUUAAAGUUGAUGCUAUUUACUUGUUCCACAAUCUUUGCUCUGAGUUUACACUGAUGAAGCAUGGGAAUGCUAUAUCCCCACAAACCUGUGCAUAGUGUUGAUAGUAGGCAUUGUUUGCUAUUUUCUGACUGUUUAUUUUUUUUCUUUUGAGAAUUGCCAUGCCUAGAAGAGUGCUGGUCUUAUAAUAUACAAGAUAAUAACUUGAUAGCUAGCAUUUCUGAGGCUUCUUGUGCUUUGCAUAUAUUUACUGUUUUGAUACUUACAAAGACCCUAUGAAGUUGGUACUAUUAUUACCUGCUUAUGGUUGGUGGGAAAACUGAGCCAUAGAGAAAUUAAACAGACUGUCCCAGGUCACACAACUCGGAAGGGUGGAGCCAGGAUGCAAAUGAUAUGGAAUUUUAAAAAAUGAGUAGUUGAGUGAAUGAAUAAAUUGAUGACCUGUUUACA
Molecule: long non-coding RNA, 1823 nt
Organism: Macaca mulatta (Rhesus monkey)
Lineage: Eukaryota; Metazoa; Chordata; Mammalia; Primates; Cercopithecidae
Source: RefSeq, a predicted model, not a curated record